UAUUUUGUUCUUUUAUACUUUGAGCACGUUUUUGGGUUUUAGUGUAAGGGAUGUUAAUUAAAAUUUUUAUUAUGCUUCCGCAUUUGACAUUUUUAAUACACAUAUUUCAUUCUAAAUUUCCGGGGCCGCUACAGUUGGUAUCAGAGCCGCGUUUCCUCGGACCCAUCCCUUACACAAUAGUGCCUUAGAGAAAUACUCACCGAUAGAUCGCUACUCAACCAUUCCUUGUGAAAACAAGUACACGGAAAUGAGUAGAGGAAGGCCCCCACUAAACCGAGCGGCCCAAGAUAAUUCACUUCGGGAGGAUUUAGACAGACUAUUUGAGAUGGUGGAAGCUCUCGUAGCUGCCCAGCAAAGGCGAAAGGAGAGAAGGGAGUUACCCGGACCUCCUCCGCUAUCGCAGGUUGAGCCCCCGCUACAGCAGGCUGAUCCCUAGCCACCCCGGCAGGAGCCUGCUCCUCCACAGUACCACCCGGCACCACAGCCGCGGUACGACCCGGUACCACAGCCACGGUACCACCAGGCACCGCCACAGCACAUUUCAGUACCCCCACCACAUCAGCAGGUGCCACCACAGGGACCCCCAGUUCACCCUCAGCCGGCCCCAGUCCCUCUACCUCGGGACCCCGCUCCUUCCUUGAUCGACCCCGGCUUCAUAGAGAGGUACAGAAGACUGAACCCUUCUACUUUUGCAGGGGGAUCCUCUUUUGAAGAGGCCAAUACUGGCUGGCAGAGACUGAGAGAGCUUUCGAGACCUUGGGAGUAGUUCCUGAGCAGAGGGCUGCCAUUGCCUCCUACAUGCUGGUAGGGGAAGCAGUACGCUGGUGGG
RNAcentral lists this long non-coding RNA (829 nucleotides) under Carica papaya (papaya). RNAcentral describes it as "long non-coding RNA (CPAP_LNC006732)". Lineage: Eukaryota; Viridiplantae; Streptophyta; Magnoliopsida; Brassicales; Caricaceae. The record is from RNAcentral.